RNAcentral lists this long non-coding RNA (1196 nucleotides) under Homo sapiens (human). Its description in RNAcentral is "non-protein coding lnc-AASDHPPT-1:3". The record is from RNAcentral. Lineage: Eukaryota; Metazoa; Chordata; Mammalia; Primates; Hominidae.
CCUGCUGUCCACAGAGCCUGUAUUUAAGAAAGACCAUUCAAGAUAAGACUGAGCUGUGGAAUUAUAAAACCUUUGGAAAAUCUUUCAUGUGAGAACAACAUGGGGGCAAGCCUCUGACCAAAAUAGCUCAAAAAUUUGUGUUACGCAGUUACAGUAAAUACCCAAGAGCUUGACGCAUAAAACACAACAGCCUCCUGGAGACAGAGGGAGGAGAAAGAAAGAUAAAGUCUGUGGCUUUAGAAGAAAAGGAAUAACUUAAGAGGCUUGUUUGCUGUUCAGGCUGGCCACCAAGGAUGACAUUUUGGUAGGUUUGGCAUGUUCCUGAGACUGUUCUUAACUUUGUUGGUCCCCUAAAAUGUACGUAAUUGAUGCAACAUGUCUGAGGAAGUGGAUGAGGUGUGAGAAAUCAUGGUAUUCCUAUUCACAAGGGACUACUUUACAACCAGACACAAUUAUUUUACAGAGAACUCUGGUUUGCAAGAGGACCUGAAUAUUAAUAUUAGUUGGUCAAUGCAUUCUCUCCCUGGAUGAGAAUUUUUUGUGGGAAGCAGCAUAAUAUAAAAUGCCAUUCAAGAUUCUGCAUGUAGCAUCAAAGAGUCAGCGAAUUCUGGCUCUGCCAACUACUUGGCUGCAGCAGAGCCAUCAGAAAACAACUCCUGAUUUUAGUUGAUCAGAUUCAAGUCAAUGAAAAAAUGACGUUUCUGUGUGUCUACUUCGGGCUAAGCACCAGGGUAGGCACAAGAGAGAUCACAGGGAUGAAUUAGUCCUAGCCCCUUGGAGAUUAUCCUCUCACCCUCUCCCCGCCAUAGUUAUCUUGGUCCUUUUCACAUAUAUCUUAGCAGGUUCUGUUUCAGGCAAAGUUUCACUUCUGUAUAUGUUUGUUACUACUGUUCAUUUGAGAUCUGCCACUAACCCUCAUUAUGACCUGGGACAUGUCUGUGGCCCCUCCACAUGCUGGCAGGAUAAAAAUUGACCAAAUAUAUGAUGCUGUCACAUAGAUGGAUCCUAUUAUUUGGUGAUUACAUUGAAAUCUUUACUGUAAAAAUUGUGUUGUCAAAAAUGAAAACAGAUGAUACUGAGUAACUCACUAGUGCCCUAAAGUACUCUACAGCUUUUCAAACAAAAUUGAAUAUUCUUUUCAACAUUCUCUCUGUAAAAAAAAAAAACAAUUCUAUAUUAGUGACCCUAUAUCCAAU